UACGAAGGGGGCUAGCGUUGCUCGGAAUCACUGGGCGUAAAGCGCACGUAGGCGGCUUUUUAAGUCAGGGGCGAAAUCCUGGAGCUCAACUCCAGAACUGCCUUUGAUACUGAGAAGCUUGAGUCCGGGAGAGGUGAGUGGAACUGCGAGUGUAGAGGUGAAAUUCGUAGAUAUUCGCAAGAACACCAGUGGCGAAGGCGGCUCACUGGCCCGGUACUGACGCUGAGGUGCGAAAGCGUGGGGAGCAAACAGG
RNAcentral lists this ribosomal RNA (253 nucleotides) under uncultured bacterium. RNAcentral's name for it is "partial 16S ribosomal RNA". It matches the Rfam family "Bacterial small subunit ribosomal RNA", at positions 524 to 776 of the family's 1533-position model. The record is from RNAcentral.